CUAAAUCCACUGCCAGAUUCCCCAGUCGUCUCGGCAAAUGUGCCACGUCAAGACUGGAUAUCGCACACUGGCCCACCGGCCGCAGCCCUGAGAGAGAGAGAGCGCGAGAGACCGAGACACAGCUCCCCUCCAUGCAGACAGGGCAGGACAGAGCCGGGGACGAACCGCCACCAGGACGGGGCGGCAGGAUGACGGGGGGCACACUACUGCAAGGGGGGCAGGGGCAGGGGAGGUCUGUUUGCUGUGAGAAGAUGGGGCAGCUGCAGUCCCUCGCGCGCUGGUGUUAAAAGCAGAGGAAAGAUACACAAUCCCCAGAUGACAGACCUCAAUUGGCGUGCCAUGGAAAAGACGGCCAGAACCCAUCACCACCUCUUUGGAAAGACUGCCCCUUGCUCAUUAAGAGGGACGCCAUCCAUGGAAAUCCACUUCUAUCUCACUCCAGCUAAUGACCUGCCAUUCUCUCUAUCAAGGACAGCUCAGAUGUUCAUUCCUUUAUUGACAUCAAUUGUAAUGCUUUCAAGCUGUAGCUUAGUGCAAGGUGGUCCCUCAAUGACACCACACAGAGCAUGCAGCCCACUACGCCCCCCCUUCCCUAAUAAUGCUCAGUUCAAAGACCACUCCCUAGUAUUUUUCUUACAACCCUCUUAUCUAACCAUAGAGUUUGGAGUUAAAAUUCCAACUCAUUUGCAGUUUACUUGAGUACAUGCGCAUAGCCAUCUUUCCAGGAUUAAGAGGAAUACCACUCAUUCUCACAAUCAGAACAAAGCUAAAUCUUCUAAAGAGUACUGUAUAACGUUUCAUGCCAUUCUGUAAUAAGAAGAGUAAUAGUAAGUCUCAUAUGCAGUAAAAAUCCAUUAUGCACCUUGUACAUCAUUUUCACUCUCAUGAGGUCACCAGCCUGGGUCACACAAGGGCUGGAGAGACUAAACACCUCUGAAGCCUCAGAGAAAGCAAGUGAGGAUGGUGAAGAGAGUGAAGGAGAGACAGAACACAUGAAGAAAAGAGUGAUGACAGGAAGAUACAGUUCUAGACAGAGUGAAGAGUAGUAGCAAACAGCGAU
This is a long non-coding RNA of Lepisosteus oculatus (spotted gar), 1060 nucleotides long. RefSeq lists it as uncharacterized. The record is from RefSeq and is a predicted model, not a curated record. Lineage: Eukaryota; Metazoa; Chordata; Actinopteri; Semionotiformes; Lepisosteidae.